RNAcentral lists this ribosomal RNA (253 nucleotides) under uncultured bacterium. Its description in RNAcentral is "partial 16S ribosomal RNA". It matches the Rfam family "Bacterial small subunit ribosomal RNA", at positions 524 to 776 of the family's 1533-position model. The record is from RNAcentral.
UACGUAGGUGGCAAGCGUUGUCCGGAAUUAUUGGGCGUAAAGCGCGCGCAGGCGGUUCUUUAAGUCUGGUGUGAAAGCCCACGGCUCAACCGUGGAGGGUCAUUGGAAACUGGAGAACUUGAGUACAGAAGAGGAAAGCGGAAUUCCACGUGUAGCGGUGAAAUGCGUAGAGAUGUGGAGGAACACCAGUGGCGAAGGCGGCUUUCUGGUCUGUAACUGACGCUGAGGCGCGAAAGCGUGGGGAGCAAACAGG